RNAcentral lists this long non-coding RNA (238 nucleotides) under Setaria italica (foxtail millet). RNAcentral's name for it is "long non-coding RNA (SITA_LNC003602)". Lineage: Eukaryota; Viridiplantae; Streptophyta; Magnoliopsida; Poales; Poaceae. The record is from RNAcentral.
AGACUUGCAGUUCCCUGGUGCCUGGUGGCACCUCUGUUGUUGCAUCUCCUCCCUCGAGUGGAGCAGGCUGCAGGCAGGACCUUGAAUCCUCCACAGUGCGUGCCUCCUCAGCUCCCGUCUGAAUCCCGAUCCCAUCACCAGCCACUUGGUUUCCUAGGCUCCUAGCAUUAUCACGACAGCUACACUGGUUGCGUCGAGUGGCCGAUGAGCACUGUGCCACCAUACGACAGCUACAGCG